AUCGGCCAGCAAGACCAUCCUUCAUGGUAACGGCAGCAGUCACCACGCUGGGAGAUCCUGGGACUGAACUCUUUUUCACCUAAGGAAACAGUAGGAAGCCAUGCUUUCAGGCAGUCACGUUCAGCACCGUGCAUUAAAUCAUAGCAUUUUAGAGCUGGAGGGGAAUGCUUAUAAUGAAAGCAAUAAUUUUUACUUACUCUUGAAGACCUGUCUGAAAAUAGUAGACUAUCCUCGGCAGGCAAAAAGGCAAUCUUUAUUUUUCAUGUCCUGUAAACAAGGCCACAAACGCUGCAUGAGAAGGUUACUACAAGCCAUUGAACAGAGUUCCCUGUGCUAUACAGCAGGAGUGUUUGUCUAUUCUCUUCUGUGAAGUCCUCUAGCCUUGUGAAACCCCCAAUUCAAAUUCCAGGAACAGAACCGGGACAAGCAAGAGACAGGCUAUGGCAGCGAGAAAGAGGCAGAGAAGAGAAAAACAGUCUGAAACACUUUGAUGAUGUCUCUGGCAGUGUCUGGAGGCCAGAGGCCAGUGAUCCUUCCAUUGCCGCAAUAACCAGAAGCACCAGAUGUCUUUAUCUCCUCCUCUGACCCACCGUCCUCAGCUCUUUGGGUCUCCCGAAAUUGAUGAAAUAUUUCUAUCCUACAAGCCUUUGGAAGAGAAAGCUGCAGAGAAAGCACGUAAUGGUCCAUUCAGGGUGCUCCAGCAGAAUGCCAUAGACUGAGUGGCUUACACAACAUUUAUUUCUCACGUUCUGGAAGCUGAGAAGUUCAAGAUCAAGGUGCUGGCCAGUUUGGUUCCUGGUCAGGACUGCAAGUUCCACAGACUCAAAAUCAGUGUGAAGAGGCAUUUUCCAACUGGAUGCUCCAUCAUGGACAGCUUAUUUCUAUACACUGUGCAUGACUGCUGGGCUCAAGGCCAACAGCACUUUGAUUCGUCCUGAUGAAUCUUGUCGAGCACGUCUUCCUCGUUAAGGCUCAUCGCAGCCUUCUUGAUCUGGGACACUGGACGCUAGACAGCACUCUGCUUGGGGGCCAUUUUAAACAAUGAAAUCACCAACGAUAAGUAGAAAAAUGACACUAAAUAGACGGUGAAAAGGACACCUAUUUACAGUGCGAGAGCUGAAACAGGAAGGCAGAGCGCAACCUUCUUCGACAUCACCCGGAACGUGGACAUCACGGAAAUCAGGUUUUUUGCUGUUCUGUACGUGUCUGUGGGUGAUCGCGAAAGUGCCUCGAGUUGCACUGAUUGCAGGCUGACAAAUAAAAUUUUUUAAGUAGACGAAUUCGCAAAAGCAGAAUCAGUGAAUAAUGAGGACAAACUGUAUUUCACUGUAGGAUAAAUAUGGUAAACACCUACCAUAAGGCUUAGUGGGGUUUAGUAAAUUGCAUCCCAUAAAAUGUGGCCUGGUAUUUUUGUGAGACUAAAGAGGGUGACUAGAGUAGGCCUGUGCAACUAGUCGGAAGCCUGUUAAAUAGUUAUCAGUUAUCAUUUAAAAACACCAGGAGCUUAUGCUCCUUAAUAAAAAAUACUUUUGGAUCGGAACAAUUUGUCUCUGGCUAAUUUGGAUUUUCUUGGGGACACCAGUAACUUUCUUUGUACUGACACAGAGAAGUCAGUAGCUGAAUUAGAUGAAUAGGCAUAGAAUUAUUGAACUAAGCAUGUUUCAGGUCACCUUCCAUGCGUGUUGUACAUGAAAGAAGGGUUUUAGAAAUAUGAACUUGUUUGUAAAAUAAGAAAGGGAAGCAAGAGGUAUUAAUUUGUAGAAGUAAGAGAAGAAAUAAGAAAAUUUAUGUCUGUAGGACUAUAUUAUACAUAAAUUUUUAUAAAUGUUAUAUAAAAUAUAUACUAGACAAGUAUAUUUUAAAUGCAAGCUAAACUAAUUAGGACUGAUGCAGUAUUUGCUGGAAGCAAUGGAAAGUAUUGGGCAAAAGGAACUAGAUUUUGUGGCUGAUCUUGGCCGUUACUGAAUGGCAUAUAGUAGGGUAAAGUUGGAUAAAAAAUUAGAGAAAUGAAAGUGCUCAAAAUGUGUCCAUUUUCUUUGGAAGGAUUUUAGUUGUUUUUGUCUACCAUCUCUCUGGGUUUAAUUAUAGUCAGUGCUUGGUUAUGGCAUGGGAGAAAAAUGAAGAAUUAUUUCUGGAUGGAUUUUGAGGAUAACAUGAUGAUGCGUGGUAAUAAACAUCACCUGUGAGUUUCUGUUCAUCGCAUCCCACUAAGGUACAGUCUUUUACAGUGUUUCAAAAUGAAUGCUUGCAUUCACUCAUUCACUCACUCAUUCAUCGGUCUAUACUGAAUCUUCACUCGCUGGACAGCCUUCUGGGUGUUGGAGAUACAGCAGUGAACUAAACCUAACUACUUCCCUCAUGGAACUUACUCAGUAGUGGGGAGAGAUGGACACUGAAUAAAUGCAUAUGCAAAGCAGAAUUUCAGAUGCUGGUAAGAGCAAGGGAGAAACACGGAGCAGGGAAGGGAGACGGGGCUCCUUUUGUGUGCUACUUCAAGUAUUUGUGAUCCUCCCUUUGACUCCAGAUGCUCCUGCCAAGACCAGUCCCAGCAGACUUUGGCCAGCUCUGUGCGGCUCUGGGGCUUCCAUACGCUGAGCCUGGGACACUCCAUGGAAACCAGCUCUAUAUUCAGACAUGCAUAACCCCAAAGCGCAGGCAGGAGGGGGUCAAUCAAUGCUUCUCGUUUUUGUCCCCUGGAGCUUUAGUUCUGAUAUAUAUUUCCUAUGCUUUCCUCAAAGGCACCGAGAAGGAUCAGUCAUCUCAGCGAGACAGCAGCUGGGUUGCACAUCCUUGAUGGCCCUUCCCUCCUUGCCUCUUUCACUCACCUGGUCCUGCCCUUCUGCUCCCUGGGAUUGAAUUCUCAAAUAACUCCCUGCAUCCCGUAUCCUGAGAAUCUUUGAUAUCUGGAAUUGUUAGUUUCUUCCUGGAACACUUUGCUGUGUGUAACCAGCAGGCAUGCAGAAAAGAGUUGGCUCCAACUUUUCCACCUGUUCUUCAGACAGAGAGGCCAGCCUGGCAAAAUAGUGGCCUCCAGUAGAGAAAAAGAAACCUAGCAAGUUUCCGCAGGCCAUAGAAACAAUCCUCGCUGCUUCUCUACUUUUUGGAAAACAAGAUUCUUCCUCCUUUUAACUCAACAAGGGAUAACGUCCACCAUAGCUUUUCUUCUUGAAGAAGGACAGCAUGGGGAGAAUGAAGGGUGAAGAGAAACCAGCAUUACAAGUAGCUCAAGUUUGUAGGCUGACCCACUGGGGACUCCCAAGAAGCUCCCUGCCGCAUCCCUUUGGAAUACGGGCGAGUGAGAGAGCAGAACACCUGCGUGAAAUCAGCUGACGACGGUUGUGUAGAGAGAACUUUUCCAUUUGGAGGAGGAAGACAUGCAACUCAGAGGAGCCAGGUCCUCUGUCCCGUGGGACACAGAAUGCCAAAGCCUUGCCCACCUGUGGUUCCCAGGAAGCAACAGCAUUUCAUCACCCAGACUAUGUGGCAACCAACUGGAAUCCUUGAAUGACCCUUCCAUGGAAACAAGCCUGACACUGUGUUCAGGGCUUCCAUCUGUGGGUGAAACUGGGUAUUGUUGAGAUGGGAAACUUGAGAAAAGGCAGGAAUUGACUUUUAAAAUUAGGCAGAGAAAAUUGACCGUAAUUAUUGUUCAGUUAGAGCCCGUGAGGACAUUUUAAUUCCAGGAGGUCAUGUGAGUUUUCUUAAUCCAGGAACCAAUUAAUUGUAAAACUCUUGUCUAAGAGUCUUUAUUAAUCUCUGUAUCAAGUCAUUCUUUUACAGCAAUAAUUCAUUACCUUUUACACUGAGCAAAAAAUGUAGAUUUCUGCUGUUGACUGUGUGACCUCAAUUAUGAAAUCAAAAGACAGCUAUUUAAAAUUGUCUUCUAUCUAAAAUACAGCCAUUAGAAUACAAUCCCUGUCUUUCUCUCGGGGUCAUGCAUGGCCUAAUGUAAGUAACACUGUAGAGUCCCUGUGCCAGAAGUAGAAUAAUAGGCAACUUUUAGACCAUAAUGCUCUGGCGCCAGCCAGCCCUCAGGCGCAUCAUUUUUGAUUGUGAAAUUUAUAGGAAAAGCUUUGUGGGUGGUUGUAAUAUAUUAGCACCACCUAGUGGUGAUGGGCAGAGCUGCCUUUCUUCACUCCCCAGGACCCCACCUCCAUCAAAUUACUGCCCAAGCACGGCUGACGGAACUCUAUUUAUAGUCUUUUAUCUAAUUUUGUGGCCACUUUCCACUUUGAAAGUUAAAGGUGCUGCACAACUGGGGUAAAAAGAUGAAGAAAUGUACAAACUAUUAUAAUAAUAGUAAUAAUACUAAUAAUCAAUAAUUUAUUGAACACUAACAUGAUAGGCUGUAGUAAGUGCUAUGUUUUGUUUUAAUUUUUUUAAAUUGAAAUGUAGUCAGUUAUAAUGUGUCAAUCUCUGGUGUACAGCAUAAUGUCCCAGUCAUGCAUAUACAUACAUAUUAUUCAUUUCCACAUUCUUUUUCAUUAAAGGUUAUAACAAGAUACUGAAUUUGGUUCCCUGUGCUACACAGAAGAAAUUUGUUUUUUAUCUAUUUUUCUAUAUAGUAGCUAAUAUUUACAAAUCUCAAACUCUCCAAUGUAUCCCUUUCCACCCCCUCUCCCCCCAUAAGAUUGUUUACUGUGUCUGCAAGUCUGUUUCUGUUUUGUAGAUGAGUUUAUUUUUAUAAUCCUUUUAGUCAAUCCUCACAAGACCAGUGAGGUAGAUUUUAUUCUUACUUUCCCAUUUUGCAGGUGAGGAAACAGACAGAGCGCUCAAGUAACUGGCCUUGGUUACAUACCUGGUAUUUAGAGGCUUUAGGUAUUUCCUUGUCUCACUGACAUUAAAUUUUCAGGUGUUUUCAUGUUGGUACCAUCAGAAGCAUCUCUGCUAUGAUACUAUGAGUAGGUGGAGCUCAGAAUUUUUCCCAAACUGAGAAAGAACCAACAGCGAGGGAACCAGUGGGGCAUACUGAUUGAGAAUGGGUGCUGCAGGGUCAGACUAGAGCUGGGUUCAAGGCACAAGCCAGCCAAUUAUUCCUCCUGUAUCCCUGGGCAAAUUAUGGUUCCACUCAGAACCUCGGUUUCCUCUUCUACGAAAUGGAGAUAAUACUAUCCUACUCAUGGAGGAGGUGGCAGUGUUGGGUGAGAUAUGUAUGCAUAGAUUCUGGCUCAUAUUGAAUGAAUAUUGAAGGGUUAUGACUAGAUUACUAUUAAAAUAAUUUUUUUAGA
Molecule: long non-coding RNA, 5228 nt
Organism: Camelus dromedarius (Arabian camel)
Lineage: Eukaryota; Metazoa; Chordata; Mammalia; Artiodactyla; Camelidae
Exons: 11
Source: RefSeq, a predicted model, not a curated record